RNAcentral lists this long non-coding RNA (654 nucleotides) under Rattus norvegicus (Norway rat). RNAcentral's name for it is "long non-coding RNA NONRATT004233". Lineage: Eukaryota; Metazoa; Chordata; Mammalia; Rodentia; Muridae. The record is from RNAcentral.
UGUCGCAGCGGCUGGAGAGAAACGACGGCGGUUUGGCGACAUUUCUCGGCCAAAAGGCCUUUUGCUUUUGCGGAGAUGCGGCAUUCCAAACGAACUCACUGUCCUGAUUGGGAUAGCAGAGAAAGCUGGGGCCAUGAAAGCUACAGUGGAAGUCACAAACGGAAGAGGAGAUCUCAUAGCAGUACGCAGGAGAAUAGGCAUUGUAAACCACAUCAUCAGUUUAAAGACACUGAUUGAUGUUCCAUUGGGGCUGUUUACCAGAUUGCUUUCUAAAUUAGCCAGCUGGGGUUACUUUAAAAACAGGAUCUUUGUGUACAAAUCUUUGCCUGUGGUUAUUUCCUGAGAGUAGAUUCUAAGAAGAGGCAUUUUCAAGUUAAAGGUGCUCCAUGUGCAUCCCUCUUGAAGCUUCGCACUCUGUUGAAGAGGACACUCAUCCCAGUCACUAUUUAGAAGCAAGAUGCUUGAAUGAGAGAGAUUAUCGGGAUCGGAGAUACAUUGAUGAAUACAGAAAUGACUACUGUGAAGGAUAUGUUCCAAGACAUUACCAUAGAGACAUUGAAAGCACUUACCGGAUCCAUUGCAGUAAAUCCUCAGUCAGAAGCAGGAGAAGCAGCCCUAAAAGAAAACGUAACAGACACUGUGCGAGUCAUCAGU